This 861-nucleotide ribosomal RNA is filed under the name uncultured Bacillota bacterium. Its description in RNAcentral is "bacterial SSU rRNA". It matches the Rfam family "Bacterial small subunit ribosomal RNA", at positions 63 to 916 of the family's 1533-position model. The record is from RNAcentral. Lineage: Bacteria; Bacillati; Bacillota.
CGAGGGGCAGCGGGAUUGAAGCUUGCUUCAAUUGCCGGCGACCGGCGCACGGGUGAGUAACGCGUAUCCAACCUUCCGUACACUCAGGGAUAGCCUUUCGAAAGAAAGAUUAAUACCUGAUGGUAUGAUGAGAUUGCAUGAUAGCAUCAUUAAAGAUUUAUCGGUGUACGAUGGGGGUGCGUUCCAUUAGGUAGUAGGCGGGGUAACGGCCCACCUAGCCAACGAUGGAUAGGGGUUCUGAGAGGAAGGUCCCCCACAUUGGAACUGAGACACGGUCCAAACUCCUACGGGAGGCAGCAGUGAGGAAUAUUGGUCAAUGGACGAGAGUCUGAACCAGCCAAGUAGCGUGAAGGAUGAAGGUCCUACGGAUUGUAAACUUCUUUUAUAAGGGAAUAAACCCUCCCACGUGUGGGAGCUUGUAUGUACCUUAUGAAUAAGCAUCGGCUAACUCCGUGCCAGCAGCCGCGGUAAUACGGAGGAUGCGAGCGUUAUCCGGAUUUAUUGGGUUUAAAGGGAGCGCAGACGGGUCGUUAAGUCAGCUGUGAAAGUUUGGGGCUCAACCUUAAAAUUGCAGUUGAUACUGGCGUCCUUGAGUGCGGUUGAGGUGUGCGGAAUUCGUGGUGUAGCGGUGAAAUGCUUAGAUAUCACGAAGAACUCCGAUUGCGAAGGCAGCACACUAAUCCGUAACUGACGUUCAUGCUCGAAAGUGUGGGUAUCAAACAGGAUUAGAUACCCUGGUAGUCCACACGGUAAACGAUGGAUACUCGCUGUUGGCGAUAUACUGUCAGCGGCUUAGCGAAAGCGUUAAGUAUCCCACCUGGGGAGUACGCCGGCAACGGUGCAACUCAAAUGAAUUGACGG